Molecule: ribosomal RNA, 329 nt
Filed under: uncultured bacterium
Lineage: Bacteria
Description: bacterial SSU rRNA
Rfam family: Bacterial small subunit ribosomal RNA
Source: RNAcentral
CAUAAGAAUCAAAGUUGUCUCGACUUGUCGAGAUACCCCCUGAAGAUGAACCUGCGUCCCAUUAGCUAGUUGGUAAGGUAACGGCUUACCCAAGGCAACGAUGGGUAGCCGCCCUGAGGGGGUGUUCGGCCCCACUGGGACUGAGAUACGGCCCAGACUCCUACGGGAGGCAGCAGUGAGGAAUAUUGCGCAAUGGGCGAAAGCCUGACGCAGCAACGCCGCGUGGAUGAUGAAGCUCUAAGGAGUGUAAAGUCCUUUUAGAAGGGAAGAAUGACCUGAAUACGAAUAGGAUUAGGGAUNNACGUACCUCAGAAAAGCCCCGCAUCCCG